Molecule: long non-coding RNA, 714 nt
Filed under: Cucumis sativus (cucumber)
Lineage: Eukaryota; Viridiplantae; Streptophyta; Magnoliopsida; Cucurbitales; Cucurbitaceae
Description: long non-coding RNA (CSAT_LNC000840)
Source: RNAcentral
UCCACUUUCACCAAACUCUAGCCGCUGACGACACCUCCAUCUUCGUUCGAGUGUUCUCCGUCAAGUCGAGAUCACCACCAUUAUAGCCAUCUCCUCCAUUUUGUUGACUAAGAACUAAGCUGUAAGGAAAAGUUUCAUCCGCUGCACGCCGUUAGUCGUAUUUUUACUUCAUCUGAAGCCUAGCGCCUUUGCGCCGCUUGUUCCUUCAUAUAACGCAAUCCCAGUUGCGUCAGUCUCCUUCAUCAACAUUCAUUUCACGGGUAUGUGGUUGAUGUUUGAUAUUCACAACUGUAUCUAUAUAUAAAUUAUAAUUUAAAACUAAAAAGAUAUUACUCUUUACAUUUUUUUUCUUUUUGACUUUGAAGGUUUUGAGGAAAAAAUCAUUUGAUUUGCGGUGGAUGUAUGAAGACUUUGAAGGUUUUUAGGAGGACAAAGUUUGAAGCUCCAAACUUUUCUGCAACUGAUCGAAUACUUUGAAGAUUUGGUGGAAUAUAGUAAAAGUGGAAGAUAGUGAAGGUGGAUUCUUUUCAACUUUAAAUACCUAAACGUGCACAAUUUCAACAAGAAUUUGUUAUUUAAGUAGAUGGUAUUUGAGUUUUAGGUGAACAAUAGUAUUUAGGACUGUUUUUGAAUUGACUAGGGGCAUUUAAGACAUUGUUUCAUUUAUUUAUUUUUCAAUUUUGCUAUUCUAACAAUUUAAAAAUAAAAUUUCUA